RNAcentral lists this ribosomal RNA (258 nucleotides) under uncultured bacterium. Its description in RNAcentral is "partial 16S ribosomal RNA". It matches the Rfam family "Bacterial small subunit ribosomal RNA", at positions 15 to 260 of the family's 1533-position model. The record is from RNAcentral.
GAUCCUGGCUCAGAGCGAACGCUGGCGGCGUGCUUAACACAUGCAAGUCGAACGUGAACGGGCUUCGGCCCUAGUAAAGUGGCGUACGGGUGAGUAACACGUAGGUAAUCUACCCUAGAGUCUGGAAUAACCUGCCGAAAGGCGGGCUAAUACUGGAUAGAGCGAAGAAACUCGUGAUUGAGUUUUUCGGGAAAGGGAGCUUGUAAGAGCCCUCGCUUUAGGAUGAGCCUGCGUCCCAUUAGCUAGUUGGUAGGGUAA